RNAcentral lists this ribosomal RNA (2922 nucleotides) under Klebsiella pneumoniae subsp. pneumoniae. Its description in RNAcentral is "bacterial LSU rRNA". It matches the Rfam family "Bacterial large subunit ribosomal RNA". Lineage: Bacteria; Pseudomonadati; Pseudomonadota; Gammaproteobacteria; Enterobacterales; Enterobacteriaceae. The record is from RNAcentral.
GGGUUGUGAGGUUAAGCGACUAAGCGUACACGGUGGAUGCCCUGGCAGUCAGAGGCGAUGAAGGACGUGCUAAUCUGCGAAAAGCGUCGGUAAGGUGAUAUGAACCGUUAAGCCGGCGAUGUCCGAAUGGGGAAACCCAGUGCAAUUCGUUGCACUAUCGUUAACUGAAUACAUAGGUUAACGAGGCGAACCGGGGGAACUGAAACAUCUAAGUACCCCGAGGAAAAGAAAUCAACCGAGAUUCCCCCAGUAGCGGCGAGCGAACGGGGAGCAGCCCAGAGUCUGAAUCAGCUUGUGUGUUAGUGGAACGGUCUGGAAAGUCCGACGGUACAGGGUGAUAGUCCCGUACACCAAAAUGCACAGGUUGUGAACUCGAAGAGUAGGGCGGGACACGUGGUAUCCUGUCUGAAUAUGGGGGGACCAUCCUCCAAGGCUAAAUACUCCUGACUGACCGAUAGUGAACCAGUACCGUGAGGGAAAGGCGAAAAGAACCCCGGCGAGGGGAGUGAAAAAGAACCUGAAACCGUGUACGUACAAGCAGUGGGAGCACCUUCGGGUGUGACUGCGUACCUUUUGUAUAAUGGGUCAGCGACUUAUAUUCUGUAGCAAGGUUAACCGUAUAGGGGAGCCGCAGGGAAACCGAGUCUUAACUGGGCGUUAAGUUGCAGGGUAUAGACCCGAAACCCGGUGAUCUAGCCAUGGGCAGGUUGAAGGUUGGGUAACACUAACUGGAGGACCGAACCGACUAAUGUUGAAAAAUUAGCGGAUGACUUGUGGCUGGGGGUGAAAGGCCAAUCAAACCGGGAGAUAGCUGGUUCUCCCCGAAAGCUAUUUAGGUAGCGCCUCGUGAACUCAUCUUCGGGGGUAGAGCACUGUUUCGGCUAGGGGGUCAUCCCGACUUACCAACCCGAUGCAAACUACGAAUACCGAAGAAUGUUAUCACGGGAGACACACGGCGGGUGCUAACGUCCGUCGUGAAGAGGGAAACAACCCAGACCGCCAGCUAAGGUCCCAAAGUCAUGGUUAAGUGGGAAACGAUGUGGGAAGGCACAGACAGCCAGGAUGUUGGCUUAGAAGCAGCCAUCAUUUAAAGAAAGCGUAAUAGCUCACUGGUCGAGUCGGCCUGCGCGGAAGAUGUAACGGGGCUAAACCAUGCACCGAAGCUGCGGCAGCGACACUAUGUGUUGUUGGGUAGGGGAGCGUUCUGUAAGCCUGCGAAGGUGUGCUGUGAGGCAUGCUGGAGGUAUCAGAAGUGCGAAUGCUGACAUAAGUAACGAUAAAGCGGGUGAAAAGCCCGCUCGCCGGAAGACCAAGGGUUCCUGUCCAACGUUAAUCGGGGCAGGGUGAGUCGACCCCUAAGGCGAGGCCGAAAGGCGUAGUCGAUGGGAAACAGGUUAAUAUUCCUGUACUUGGUGUUACUGCGAAGGGGGGACGGAGAAGGCUAUGUUAGCCGGGCGACGGUUGUCCCGGUUUAAGCAUGUAGGCUGGUUGUCCAGGCAAAUCCGGAUAAUCAAGGCUGAGGUGUGAUGACGAGGCACUACGGUGCUGAAGUAACAAAUGCCCUGCUUCCAGGAAAAGCCUCUAAGCAUCAGGUAACAUCAAAUCGUACCCCAAACCGACACAGGUGGUCAGGUAGAGAAUACCAAGGCGCUUGAGAGAACUCGGGUGAAGGAACUAGGCAAAAUGGUGCCGUAACUUCGGGAGAAGGCACGCUGGUGUGUAGGUGAAGUCCCUGCGGAUGGAGCUGAGACCAGUCGAAGAUACCAGCUGGCUGCAACUGUUUAUUAAAAACACAGCACUGUGCAAACACGAAAGUGGACGUAUACGGUGUGACGCCUGCCCGGUGCCGGAAGGUUAAUUGAUGGGGUUAUCCGUAAGGAGAAGCUCUUGAUCGAAGCCCCGGUAAACGGCGGCCGUAACUAUAACGGUCCUAAGGUAGCGAAAUUCCUUGUCGGGUAAGUUCCGACCUGCACGAAUGGCGUAAUGAUGGCCAGGCUGUCUCCACCCGAGACUCAGUGAAAUUGAACUCGCUGUGAAGAUGCAGUGUACCCGCGGCAAGACGGAAAGACCCCGUGAACCUUUACUAUAGCUUGACACUGAACAUUGAGCCUUGAUGUGUAGGAUAGGUGGGAGGCUUUGAAGCGUGGACGCCAGUCUGCGUGGAGCCAACCUUGAAAUACCACCCUUUAAUGUUUGAUGUUCUAACGUUGGCCCCUGACCGGGGUUGCGGACAGUGUCUGGUGGGUAGUUUGACUGGGGCGGUCUCCUCCCAAAGCGUAACGGAGGAGCACGAAGGUUAGCUAAUCCUGGUCGGACAUCAGGAGGUUAGUGCAAUGGCAUAAGCUAGCUUGACUGCGAGCGUGACGGCGCGAGCAGGUGCGAAAGCAGGUCAUAGUGAUCCGGUGGUUCUGAAUGGAAGGGCCAUCGCUCAACGGAUAAAAGGUACUCCGGGGAUAACAGGCUGAUACCGCCCAAGAGUUCAUAUCGACGGCGGUGUUUGGCACCUCGAUGUCGGCUCAUCACAUCCUGGGGCUGAAGUAGGUCCCAAGGGUAUGGCUGUUCGCCAUUUAAAGUGGUACGCGAGCUGGGUUUAGAACGUCGUGAGACAGUUCGGUCCCUAUCUGCCGUGGGCGCUGGAGAAUUGAGGGGGGCUGCUCCUAGUACGAGAGGACCGGAGUGGACGCAUCACUGGUGUUCGGGUUGUCAUGCCAAUGGCACUGCCCGGUAGCUAAAUGCGGAAGAGAUAAGUGCUGAAAGCAUCUAAGCACGAAACUUGCCCCGAGAUGAGUUCUCCCUGAGACUUUAAGUCUCCUGAAGGAACGUUGAAGACGACGACGUUGAUAGGCCGGGUGUGUAAGCGCAGCGAUGCGUUGAGCUAACCGGUACUAAUGAACCGUGAGGCUUAACCUUACAACGCCGAAG